UGGAAGUUCCCAGGCUAGGGGUUGAAUAGGAUUUGCAGCUGCUGGCCUACGCCACAGCCACAGCAAUGUCAGAUCUGAGCUGUGUCUGUUACCUGCACCACAGCUUGAGGCAAUGCUGGAUCCUUAACCCACUGAGCAGGGCCAGGAUCAAACCCGCAUCCUGAUGGAUACUAGUCUGGUUUGUUACUGCUGAGCCACAAUGGGAACUCCCUGGAUUAGGCUUUGGCUGAAGGAGUGUUGUGACUACUUUGAUCUUCUAUCCAGACCAAUAAAGCUUUCUCCGUAUCAGCAGGAAUGCUGUUUCCCUUUUGUAUGUUUGUGUGUUCACUGAAGUAGUACUUUCCAUGUCCUUUAAGUACUUUUCCUUUGCAUUCAUUCUCAGCUUGGCUGUUUGGCUCAAGGGACCUAGAUUUUGGCCUGUCUAGGCUUUUGACUUGCCUUCCUCAGUAAGCUUAAUUAUUUCUAGCUUCUGAUUUCAAGUUAGAGACGUGGGACUCCUCCUUUCAUUUGAAUACUUAGAGGCCUCCGUAAGGUUAUUAAUUGGCCUUAUUCCAGUAUUGUGUCUCAGGGAAUAAAGAGGCUGGAGGAGAGGGAGAGAGCUGGGGAGCUGCCAGUCGGUGGAGCAGUCAGAACACACACAUUUUCAAAUGAAUUUAUCACAUCUGUAGUUGUAUAAUGAUCAUAACAAUCUGAUUUCACAGGAUUUCCAUCCCAUAGCCCAAGCGCAUCCCUCCAUCUCCCAAACUGUCUCCUCCAGAGACCUUAAGUUUUCCAAUGUCUGUGAGUCAGCAUCUGUUCUGCAAAGAAGUUCAGUCUGUCCUUUUUUCAGAUUCCACAUGUCCAUGAAAGUAUUUGAUGUUGGUGUCUCAUUGUCUGGCUGACUUCACUUAGCAUGAUGAUUUCUAGGUCUAUCCAUGUUGCUAAAAAUGCUGGUAUUUCAUUCUUUUCAAUGGCUGAGUAAUAUUCCAUUGUGUAUAUGUACCACAUCUUCUUGAUCCACUCUGUUGAUGGACAUUUAGAUUGUUUCCAUUGGUAUGACAUUUCUGAACAUGAUCCAUAUCUAUACAUGUAUCAGUAAUUUAUUCCUUUUUAUUGCUGAGUAAAAUUCCACUGUGUGUCGAUGUACCAAAAAUUGUAUUCACCUGUUAGGUGUACAUUUGGAUUAUUACCAUUAUGUAACUAUUAUGAAUAAAGCUGACGCACUUCCAUGUACACAUUUUUGGAUGAACAUCCCUUUAUUUUACAUGAGUAAAUAAAUUAGGUGUGGAAUUGAUGGGUCUUAAUGUGUUUUUUUUCACCCUAGAACAUUUUUAUUGUACUCCCACUUGGGCAGAUAAAAAUGAAUUUGACAUCAGGGCUCAAACAACAGCAGUGUUGGACUUACUUUUCCUGUUUUUACCAACCUCAUGAGAUCUAUAAAUUUAUAGUACUCUUAGGUCCUUGAACAGGUCCUGCAGAGGAAUUGGAAAGAGGGGAAUAGCCAUCCUAGCAGGUCAAGGAUACAAGGACAGGUGUCACCAGAUGAUGUAAAAAAGAGGUGACAGCUCCUGCUAAGCUAGGGCUCAGAAGCUCAGGUUGGGUCAACAUAAAAUUUUUAAGGUGAGAAAUUGAUGAAGACAACUUGCUGGUUAUAGAGUUAGCCCUGAAUAAGGAAAAGUCAGUUUUCCAGACUGGAGCUAAGGACAAGAGUAAUGUUGAGGUGGAAAAGCAGUGCCUCUUGAGGGCAAUAUUUUUCCGGGAAUGUGCUGAGAGUUAGGGGUUCAAAUACUGAAGGAGUGAAGCCCAUCCUUGUUAAAUACUUAUAGAGUGGUGGAAGGCAUCUGCAGAGGACAGCUUGACAGAGACAGAUGGCCGUUUCUCCUUUUUAUCUCUGAAGUGGGACACUUAAGCAGUCUGCUUGGUAACUUUUGCCGCUGGGUUCAAGAUGGUAAGUUCACUCGUCUUAAGUGUUUAUCAUUGACCUCGAUGUCCUGGUAAGUUGUUUUGGUGCCUCACUCAUCCGACCACACGGAGAGAUGUCUCUGUUUCCUCCUAUAAUGUUUGAGGCCCCGGCUGAGUGAUAGCCUGCGGAGGGAUGGGGUGUUCUGUGCUUCCCUCUGCACUGCUCUCGUAGGCACCCAGGCUCCAAACUUUGAUUUAUCAAGGCCCUGCCCUUGUCUUUCUGUUUGCAUCCUUUAGGACAGCCCAUCUCAUUACUUGGCAUCCAUGUUCAGAACCUAGUUUAAUGUAAGGGAAGCUCUUUCCUGAGCGUGGCCUGAGGUCACACAUGGCAGAUCUUCCAAGGGGAGUGUGGAUUAUUCCUGGGUUUGAGAGAUUACAUCGAGGGCACUUUAAGAGGCUUAAUUUUCUCCUUGAAGGGCUCUCCAUUGGGUUCAGCCUCUGUCACUCCUGGGCCCUCCCCACAGGAUGAGAGGAGCUCUCCCUGUGGGUGAGAUGUCAGCCGUGAAGCUUUUGGUCCAGUACACCCGGGGAGAAAGAGCAGCUGUCUUUGUGGGCCAUCUUAGUGUGAUUCGAGGGAAGUUUAUUUUUAUUAUCAGUGUUUUAUUUUUUUAAAGAGGGAGCCUGAGUGGUUUUAGGUCAGCCUUUCCCUUUGGUAGCGGAAGAACUCAGUCUGAGAAGGAUGGGACCAACUGGGUCACUUGGCAAAGCUGGCACCGGAGUCCCUUACUCGUGACCAUUAGUGGCACUUUCUCCUUUUCUCGGGAUGCCUGGGUGGACCCUGACUUUAAAUCAUGACUAUGUUUCUAGGCUCUGGGUGUGUGUCAGAACUGUCAGUGAAGCCCCUUAAACAUGCUGGCUGUACUCCUCCACCCCACCCCUCCCCUGCCCUGGAGUCACUGAUUUGGAAUUUCUGAGAGUAAGACCUGGACAUUGUUUAUUUUUGUUUUUAAUGUUAAUAAAUAUUAACAUUGAAAGUUGUUUGCUCUUCUAACCCUUGAGCAUCCAUCUAGCUGCAUGUCAACUCAUAAGGUGUGGGACUGCUGCUGGACACUUUUUUUUCUUUUUUUUUUAGGCAUAUGGAGGUUCCCAGGCUGGGGGUCUAAUCGGAGCUACAGCUGCUGGCCUACGCCAGUGCCAUGGCAAUGCUGGAUCCAAGCCGAGUCUGCAAGCUACACCACAGCUCCCAGCAUCGCUGGGUACUUAACCCACUGAGCGAGGCCAGGGAUCGAACCCUCAACCUCAUGGUUCCUAGUCGGAUUCAUUUCUGCUGUGCCAAGAAGGGAACUCCUGGACACUGUUUUUUAAAGAUCCAUAGGGAGGCUCCAAGGAGAGGUGGCCCAGGAAGGGUGCUUAGGGGGUAAAAGUAGCCAGGGCACUGGGGACAGUAGCCUAGCAUGGGAGAUGCUUGCUACCCUUGCUCUCUGGACAGACACAGCUAUUUCCCAAUGCUGGGCAGCCAUCUCAGAGGGGCCAGUCCACUCCUCGCCCUCCCAAACUCUUGCUCACUGAGCAAGACCCUUUCAGGUUUCAUUUUGAAUGCAUGCUGGAAGGGCUUGAUUAUUUUCUUUGGGGACAUUUUCCCAGUGUGUUUUGAAUUACUUAGGCGAGAAUGAAAGUUGCGUUAAGUUUGAGAGAGUUGUCUCCUGAGAGCUUUUAUGGCUCCUUUUCAUUAUGGCCUCUUGGUGCCUGUGUGCUGGGGGUGGCUUAAGCUCUCUGAGAAGCUGGCCAUGGGUGCCACUCUGACGGAAGGAAAAAGGGAGUGUGACUGGCUGUGUAGAGUGGGUUUGCAUAGUUGUAUAAGAAUGAAGAAUCACUUGCUGGUUCUUGCUGGUGAGCUUGCACAUAGGUUGGAGCUCUGAUUUUAUGACAGUUGCUACAGGUUCAAGACUGCACAGCAGAGCUGGUUAGGGAUGCUCUGUUUGCCAAGAGCUAGCUCUCUGAUGGACCUGAGAAGUAGUGUCAAUGCAGUAUUAUACCUGAUGAAGAUAUGAAAACACAUCCUGUGGAAUCUGAGAAGCAUCAGAUGGCAAAGCGUCCUUCCCAAAAGGAGCUGGAGAAGGGCACUUUCCUCUUGUACUGGAACCUAAUAGAUUGAAUUUGUUUGGGCUGCCACAUCACUGUACCACCGAGUUGUGGCUUCACCAGCAGAAAUAUAUGUUGUCUCGGUUCUGGAAGCUGGAAGUUCAAGGUCAAGGUGUUGGCAAGAGUUGGUUCCUACUGAGGGAAGAAGCAUCCGUUCCAGGCUUCUCUCCUUGGCUUGUCAUAGGCCAUCUUCUUCGAUGCAGGUUUGUUUCUGUGUCCAAAUGUCCUGUUUUUAUAAGGACACCAGUCACAAUAGAUAAGGUAGGGCCCACCAUUAUGUUUUCAUUUUAACCUGAUCAUCUCUGUAAAGACUCCAGGUUACUUUCUGAGGUACUGGGAAUUUAGGACUCCAACACAUUUGUUGUGAGGGGACACAAUUCAAGGUAUAGCACGGACUGGCAAAAUGACUUGUUUCUCAGAAUAUGCCUGUGACAUGGCAUGCUUGUUAUUGAAGUUACCUCUUUAGGCUAAAGGACCCUCUUCUGUAAUGGUUGUGGAAUUCCGCACCUGCCAGGUUCAUUGACCUAUACCUGGGACUGGACAUUUUACCAAUGUCUUGUUUAAGUUUUUUUGCCGUCAUAACAACCAUGGCAGAUGGUAUUAUUUCCACUUUGAGGUAAUUGAUGUGUACCAAGGUUUACACACUAAAUACUGGCUAAGUUUGAUGCAAACUCAGAUUUUCUCAUCCAUAUCCUACGUUUCUUCCAUAACACUGGUGAUUUUUCAAGUCUUGAUGUGCAUACAAAUCUUCUGGGAGGCUCCUGAAAAAUAAAGAUUUAGGAGACUUUCUAGAAUACUGCUGAGCCAGAAGCUGAGGUAACAACUAUUUUUAUUGUUUCUUCUGAAGAUUUUGAUGCUCUCCAGCAUGUGAGAAUGAAUGCACUCUAUCAUGGAUAUACUAUAUUUAAAGGGGGAAACCCACCAGUACUACCAAGUUCCCAUUUUCUUUUCCAUUGGUGGCUUGCAUGGGAGGCAUCAUGGGAAAGUGGUUGCUGGAAUCAAGGGGUGCUUUGAGCCCGAGGGGGUUGCUUUCUUAGACAGCACCCUUGCUGUUGUACUGAUGGGGAGAGUCUUUGGAUGCCAGGCUGUGCUCACUGUCCUUUAGCUGAUGAUAAAUAAAUCUGGCUUGAAUUUUCCCUGUGUACAGAUGCACCUUGUACCACAGUGGAGAAGAGUGGGAGAUAAGUCGAGAUGGAGUGGGAACAAAUAAAUACUUCAUGCUUUAGCAAAGCAAAAGGAGAAUCGGUGAGAGGACAAGGCAAGAAAAAAAUUGUGAUUAUUAAGGAUUUAUUGUUAUAAAAUGUAUUCACACAAACUAAAAUGUGGUGGUACAUGCUCCACUGCAGAAGAAUCACUUAGAGAAAAUUUUGAGAUGUGGAUUCCUAGAUUCUACCCCUAGAGAUCUUUUAUUCUAAAGUGGGGCUCAAAAACAAAAAAAAACCAAAAAAACGGUGUUCCUGUCAUGGCACAGCAGAAACGGAUCCAACUGGGAACCAUGAGGUUGUGGGUUGAUCCCUGGCCUCACUCAGUGAGUUAAGGAUCCAGCGUUGCCAUGAGCUGUGGUGUAGGUCACAGACAUGGCUCAGAUCCUGUGUUGCCUGUGGCUGUGGUGUAGGCCAGCAGCUGUAGCUCCAAUUAGACCCCAAGCCUGGGAACCUCCAUGUGCCGUGGGUGUGGCCCUAAAAAGAUAAAAAAAAAGCUGAGCUGGAGUUGCUGCUGUGGUGCAAUAUAGGUUGUAGGUCACAGCUGCAGUCAGAUAUGAUCUGUGGCCCGGGCAUUCCAUAUGCCUUGGGG
RNAcentral lists this long non-coding RNA (5817 nucleotides) under Sus scrofa (pig). RNAcentral's name for it is "lncRNA (ENSSSCG00055025759.1)". The record is from RNAcentral. Lineage: Eukaryota; Metazoa; Chordata; Mammalia; Artiodactyla; Suidae.